UACGGAAGGCAGCAGUGGGGAAUAUUGCACAAUGGGCGCAAGCCUGAUGCAGCCAUGCCGCGUGUAUGAAGAAGGCCUUCGGGUUGUAAAGUACUUUCAGUCGUGAGGAAGGUGUUAAGGUUAAUAACCUUAGCAAUUGACGUUAGCGACAGAAGAAGCACCGGCUAACUCCGUGCCAGCAGCCGCGGUAAUACGGAGGGUGCGAGCGUUAAUCGGAAUUACUGGGCGUAAAGGGCACGCAGGCGGUUAAUUAAGUUGGAUGUGAAAUCCCCGGGCUUAACCUGGGAAUGGCAUUCAAGACUGGUUAGCUAGAGUCUUGUAGAGGGGGUAGAAUUCCAUGUGUAGCGGUGAAAUGCGUAGAGAUGUGGAGGAAUACCGGUGGCGAAGGCGGCCCCGUGGACAAAGGACUGACGCUCAUGUGCGAAAGCGUGGGGAGCAAACGAGGAUUAGA
This 451-nucleotide ribosomal RNA is filed under the name uncultured bacterium. RNAcentral describes it as "bacterial SSU rRNA". It matches the Rfam family "Bacterial small subunit ribosomal RNA", at positions 340 to 782 of the family's 1533-position model. The record is from RNAcentral.